UACGGAGGGGACUAGCGUUGUUCGGAAUUACUGGGCGUAAAGCGCACGUAGGCGGAUUUGUAAGUCAGGGGUGAAAUCCCGAGGCUUAACCUCGGAACUGCCUUUGAUACUGGUGAUCUGGAGAUCGGGAGAGGUUGGUGGAAUUCCGAGUGUAGAGGUGAAAUUCGUAGAUAUUCGGAGGAACACCAGAAGCGAAGGCGGCCAACUGGCCCGAUACUGACGCUGAGGCGCGAAAGCGUGGGGAGCGAACAGG
RNAcentral lists this ribosomal RNA (253 nucleotides) under uncultured bacterium. RNAcentral describes it as "partial 16S ribosomal RNA". It matches the Rfam family "Bacterial small subunit ribosomal RNA", at positions 524 to 776 of the family's 1533-position model. The record is from RNAcentral.